CGGGGCUUAAAGUCUUGUAAUUGGAAUGAUGGGAAUUUAAACCUCUUCCAGAGUAUCAAUUGGAGGGCAAGUCUGGUGCCAGCAGCCGCGGUAAUUCCAGCUCCAAUAGCGUAUAUUAAAAUUGUUGCAGUUAAAAAGCUCGUAGUUGAAUUUCUGCUGCAUUGCUUGUGUCCCUCUGGGGUCUGUGCAUGUGGCUUUUUUCGGACGGAGUUUCUUUGUCUGAAUGUUUACUUUGAGAAAAUUAGAGUGCUCAAAGCAGGCUUUCGCCUUGAAUAGUUUAGCAUUGAAUAAUAAAGUAGGACUUUGGUUCUAUUUUGUUGGUUUUAGGUACCAAAGUAAUGGUUAAUAGGAACAGUUGGGGGCAUUCGUAUUUAACUGUCAGAGGUGAAAUUCUUAGAUUUGUUAAAGACGAACUACUGCGAAAGCAUUUGCCAAGGAUGUUUUCAUUAAUCAAGAAC
Molecule: ribosomal RNA, 458 nt
Filed under: Theileria annulata
Lineage: Eukaryota; Apicomplexa; Aconoidasida; Piroplasmida; Theileriidae
Description: SSU rRNA
Rfam family: Eukaryotic small subunit ribosomal RNA
Source: RNAcentral